This 466-nucleotide ribosomal RNA is filed under the name uncultured bacterium. RNAcentral's name for it is "partial 16S ribosomal RNA". It matches the Rfam family "Bacterial small subunit ribosomal RNA", at positions 30 to 507 of the family's 1533-position model. The record is from RNAcentral.
CGAACGCUGGCGGCGUGCUUAACACAUGCAAGUCGAACGGAAAGGCCCUGCUUUUGUGGGGUGCUCGAGUGGCGAACGGGUGAGUAACACGUGAGUAACCUGCCCUUGACUUUGGGAUAACUUCAGGAAACUGGGGCUAAUACCGGAUAGGAGCUCCUGCUGCAUGGUGGGGGUUGGAAAGUUUCGGCGGUUGGGGAUGGACUCGCGGCUUAUCAGCUUGUUGGUGGGGUAGUGGCUUACCAAGGCUUUGACGGGUAGCCGGCCUGAGAGGGUGACCGGCCACAUUGGGACUGAGAUACGGCCCAGACUCCUACGGGAGGCAGCAGUGGGGAAUUUUGCACAAUGGGCGGAAGCCUGAUGCAGCAACGCCGCGUGCGGGAUGACGGCCUUCGGGUUGUAAACCGCUUUCGCCUGUGACGAAGCGUGAGUGACGGUAAUGGGUAAAGAAGCACCGGCUAACUACGUG